RNAcentral lists this long non-coding RNA (5186 nucleotides) under Sus scrofa (pig). RNAcentral's name for it is "lncRNA (ENSSSCG00025059954.1)". The record is from RNAcentral. Lineage: Eukaryota; Metazoa; Chordata; Mammalia; Artiodactyla; Suidae.
GGAGGACGGAGAAGCGAAACCCGACGUUUCUGUGCGCUGCGUGUCUCAGAGUCAAGCUUUUGUUACCUCGUGGAAUGCUUGUACUCUGUGCUGAUUCGCAGAAGACUUUUAAGGGCUGAAAGGAUGUGGCGGAAAAGCAGGACAAGGGGCCAGGAAGCUCGUGGCAGAGGUGAGUCCAGGUGGGACCUCUCCCUGCCCUGCGGCUGUUCCGGGUCCAGCCUGAGACAGACACUGCCCUCCUAACUGCCCGCGGUUGCACAUGCAAACUGCUGAGAUGGAGCUGGUCCUUAGCAAAGCUGCAAGGGUGGCUAAGCUUCCUCUCUCAUUCUUUUCCCACCUCCUGCCACUCACUCUUCCCCCAGUUUGAGCAGCGGGGCUCCACCCCCUCAUGAAAUCUGUACCGAGCAGAUAACGCCAAUCAGCUAUGGCCUUAUUCUGAUGAGCAAGUAUAUUAACUCUUCCAAGAAUGGUCACAUGGGGACAUAAACUUCUGGGGGCAAAGGGACCUGAAAACCAAAUAUUCCAACAUUGAAAGAUGUCCCAGAACGCGUCUAGCUCAGUCCCCCGCGCUGAGCUCCCGACGAGGAGCCACACAUCGCCUGUCCUGGAGCAGCUUUCUUCGAGGGGGCGGCUGGCGAGAGCCCCCCCAGCUGCGCGGUCAUGGGAGGAGGGCCCUGCAGAUACUCUUGCAUCUCAUCUUCACUGAGACGGUCUGAAGUAGGUACUGUUAUCACCAUUUAUGGAGAAAGAAGCUCAGGCGCAGAGUGAUUAAAAUACUUGCCCUAAAAUGCAAAAAAAAGAAAACUUGCCCCAAAGCCGUACAACUAGUAAGUAGAAAAAUCCCUCAUGAGCACAGGUCCAGAUAUCGGAACCAGAAGUUCUGGAGCCCACAUUCAUUCCAUUCCCCAAACUGUCCGCUCAAGGUGAGCGGGAUUCUAAGCCCCAAGGCUCACCUGCCCGGGGGCCCACACCUUUUCCCAGUUGUUGAAACACUAAUGGAGGCGCUGCUGAGAAGGGAUUCUGCAGGUGUUAAUUAAGGUCCCAAAUCAGGGGACCUUAAAUUAGGGGGUCUCUGGGCGGGGCUUCCCUGAUCACGUGAGCCUUUUAAGGGGAGAAUGUUCUCCAGCUGGUGGCCGAGGGCAGCGUUUCAGAGCAGGGGAGGCGCUCUCCUGGUGGCCUUGCAGGUGCGGUGGCCGUGUUGGAGGCCGUGGGGCCUGUGAAGAGGCAGCCACUUGGAGGGGGCGGCCUCUGGCCAACAGCUGGCAAGGGAGCAGGAUCCUCAGACCAGGCCUGCGAGGAACUGGAUGCUGCCGACCACCUGACGGCGUGGAGGGCCCAGCACAGGACCGACCACGCGCUGCCGGAUGCUGUGAGAGGAUCGCGCGGUCCCGCCUGGGGGCUGCGUGGCCGUGGUGCAUACACUGCGCCGGAACACUCCGCCCGCCUCCCCUCUGCUCUGAGGUCAGUCCCGCAGGGCCUGAGACAAGAAGGAUUUUAUUAACUUUUGAAUUAUUGUAUGCGCUUUUAAAUUCUUUAUUUUCUUGAGGUAUAGGUGACUUACAGCAUUGUGUUAGUUUCAGGUGUACAACAAAGUGAUUCGGUGAUACGUGAUUUUUUUUCGGAUUCUUUCCCUUAUUACAAGACCUUGCACAGGGUCCCUGUGCUGGACAGGCGGUCCUUCCUUAGCUCUUUUAUAUUCAGUGACGGGUACGUGUUGAUCCCAAACUCCUGGUUUAUCCCUCCGGCUCCCCCUUUCCCCUUUGGUAACCAUGAGUUUGUUUUCUGUGUCUGUGAGUCUGUUCCUGUUUGUUUGCAAGUAAAUUCAUUGUAUUGUUUUUUAGAUUCCAUGCAUACGUGAUGUUAUAUAAUACUUGUCUUUCUCUGACUUUCUUCACCUAGUGUGAUAAUCUCUAGGUCUAUGCAUGUUGCUGCAAAUGGCAGAAUUCUGUUCUUCUGAAUGGCUGAGGACUAUUCCAUUGUAUCUAUGUGCCACGUCAUCUUUAUCCAUUCUUCUGCCAGGGGACAUUUCGGUUGCUUCCAUGCCUUGGCUUUUGUGAGUGAUGCUGCUAUGAACACUGGGGUGCCUCUGUCUUUUCGGAGUUUUUACCUUUUCUGGGUGUAUGCCCAGGAGUGGGAUUGCUGGAUCAUGGAGUAAUUCUAUAUUUAGUUUUUAAGGAACCUCCUUGCUGUUCUCCCCAUGGUGGUUGUACCAGCUCACACUCCCACCAACAGUGGAAGAGGGUUCCCUUUUCUCCACAUCCUCGCCAGCAUUUGUUAUUCGUAGACUUUUGGGUGAUGGCCAUUCUGACUGGUGGAGGGGGUACCUCAUUGUAGUUUUGAUUCCUAUUUCUCUAGUGAUGCUAAGUAUCUUUUCAUAUGUCUGCCAUCUUUUCUUUGGAAAAAUGUCUAGGUCUUCUGCCCAUUUUUUGAUUGGGUUGCUUGGGGUGUUUUGCUAUUGGGUUUUAUGAGCUGUUUGUCUAUUUUGGAAAUUAAGCCCUUGUUGGUCGUGUUGUUUGCAAAUAUUUUCUCUCAACCCAUGGAUUGUCUCUUCAUUCUGUUUAUGGUUUUCUUUGCUGCGCAAAGGCUUGUCAGUUUGAUUAGGUCCCAUUUGUUUAUUUUUGCUUCUAUUUCCUUUGCCUUGGGAGACUGCCCUAAGAAAACUGCUGCAGUUUAUGUCAGAGAAUGUUUUGCCUGUGUUCUCUGCCAGGAGCUUUAUGGUGUCCUGUCUUAUAUUUGUCUUUAAGCCAUUUUGAGUUUAUUUUGGGGCAUGGUGUGAGGUGUGUUCUGAUUGCAUGGACUUGCAUGCAGCUGUCCAGCUUUCCCAGCACCACCUGCUGAAGAGCCUGGCUUUCCCCGUGUGUGGUCUUGUCUCCUUUGUUGAAGUUUAGUGGUCUGGAAGCAGGUGGGUUUAUUUCUGGGCCUGAGACAAGGAUUUGAGAGGAAGUUUGUUGGGGGGAGGAUUCCCCAGAAGUGGGAGGGUGAGGGGACUGAGCGGGGAAGCUGGUUCGCCUGGGGUCUGCAGGGGACCCCAGCACCGGAGCUGCCCCCUCCAGUUGCUGACGGGUCCUCCUUCCAGAGGGAUGUCACCGGCAGGGCGUGCAGAAGAGGGUUUGGGAAGGACAGCGUCUCGGGAACAGGGGCAGUGCUGACGUGUCAGGGCCCGAGACGCUCGUUAGGACACUCCUCCCCACCUGGUGAUGCUGCCAGGUGGCCUGGGGCCCCGCCUUGGCCCCAUAGCCUGGUGACUGCUUCUCCGUACUUUUCAGAUACUGGCACUUUGCAACUCCUGCAAUGUUCACAGUCCCCAGGUGUCCUCUUCACUGGCUCAGCAUCUCCCAUCUCACCCCGGACCCCCACGAAACACGAAAUCUGAGUCCUUUGUCAUCUAGGGAGGCGCUGGCUUCGGAACUGGUUCGGUGGUUCUCAGCUGGGAACUGUACCGCUGCUCCGACCUCGUCAGCUUCCAGGCAGCCUGCCUGUCCAGGUGACUCACAUGAGCUGCCCUGGUUCUCUGUGCAGCUGCAGAGAUCUGUCUGGCCCUUCCUGCCCCUGUGCUGGUGGCUCUGGGACGGUAGGGGGGACACUGCGUCACUGGGAGCCCCCAGGCCUGGUUCUGGGGAGCGGGCAUGAUGGUCACGACCAGUGUGCUCAGAAUUUAAAAUACGUACCUCAGCGACAGUGACCAGGCAGGCAGAACCGGCUCUCAGCCAUGGUCUCGGCGCCUGCCCGUCACCUGGGCCUCGGGCCUGGGCCUCUAGAAGCACUUGCUUCUCACUGCUUCUCUCGAAGGACCAGCCACCUGCUCUGGGAAGCUCUCCUUGGCUCUUCCUUCCAAGCCCCUCCCAGGCUGCUCUGGGGGCGGGGCCGAGGCAGCCCCUGCAGGUGACCCGGCCUUUGGGCUGCACUGAGAGGGGCUGGACGAGGGGCAGCUCCGGGCCCGGGGCCGUGACGUCAGGGCCGAGGGCUCCCUGUGGACACACGGUGUCCACCUCGGCCUUGAGCCGGGAGAGCUGUGAGCCCCACGGGGCUGGGGAGGAAGGAGACCUGCGGAGCCAGCGCCCAGGGGUCGUGGCUACGUACCAAACACAAAGUUGUCGGGCCUGAAGAUCUGGCCGAAGGGUCCAGACCUGACCGAGUCCAUGGUGCCCGGCUCCAGAUCCACCAGGAUGGCCCGGGGCACAUACUUGUUACCUGUGGGGACAGAGCUGGACUUAGACCUGCGGUUGGCCGAGGAGGCCCGGACGACGCCCUGCCCUGUGCGCCUUUGGCGGCAGAAUUCACCCCAGAAGGUGCCAGCCCGAGGCACCGGGGGAGCUGCGAGGAGGUUUCUGCUCUACGAGGGGGCUGAUGGCUUUGCUCGGUCGUGACAAGCAUGCAGGGGCCUUAGGACGUGUGCUCCCGAGCAGCGGGCGCUCAGGGUGGAGGCGGGCAGGACGGACGUGGCGUCCCCCCAGAACAGAAAGCAAGCGGAGGGGCCCCCGGGUCCCAGCAGUCACCAGCGGCUUCAUUGUAGUACACGUUGAUCCUCUCCAGCUGCAAGUCGCUGUCGCCAUGGUAACUGCCAGUGGGGUCGAUGCCAUGCUCGUCGCUGAUGACCUCCCAAAACUGGGGAGAAAAGGGGAACCACGUGAUGGCCUGGCAUCCUAGGUGCCGGUAAGGCGGGCCCUUUGCGUCCUCUCUCGUCCUUGCCGCAGGGGCGUGUGGGCUGACAGUCGAGGUGUCCUAGACAGACUGCCAGCUGCCCGCCCCGUUCCUCCAGCGGCUGCUGCUCAGGGCUUGGGAAUCCGCAGGGCAUGAGCCAUAAUAUGGCGACAGACUGAGGAGCCGGGAGGGGCCCGAAGGAGGGGGGGUGGGCACAGCAGACGCCCUUCCAGGGGAAUCGUGGGUGCUGGGGAGGCCGCCACCCCCGGGCAGGGCUGCGGGUCAGCCUGGUGGAGGAUGGACGGGUCCUGGCAGGACCCAGGACCAUUGGGACCCCGCCCUGUGGCUGCCUGCAGGCAUCCCUGUCUCCUGGCACAGAUGGGACCCAGCCCCCCAGCAGCGCAGCUCAGCUCUGACAUCUGCACUGCCCUCAGCAGCGGCAGCAGCAGGAUGGCGGGGAGGGGCGGGCAGAGCUGGGGGCCCCCCUGGGGGCAGUGGCCCGAGCUGGGACCCUACUGCCAAAUAAAUACAUAUCCAGACUUCGA